UACGUAUGUCUCAAGCGUUAUCCGGAAUUACUGGGUGUAAAGGGUUUGUAGGUUGUGAAUUAAGUAGGGUAUGAAAGGCCGGAGCUCAACUCCGUGUUUGUAUUCUAAACUGGUUUGCUAGAGUUAGGGAGAGGUAAGCGGAAUUUUAAGUGUAGGGGUGCAAUCCGUAGAUACUUAGAAGAACACCAAAAGCGAAGGCAGCUUACUGGAACUAUACUGACGCUGAAAAACGAAAGCGUGGGGAGCGAAAAGG
Molecule: ribosomal RNA, 253 nt
Filed under: uncultured bacterium
Lineage: Bacteria
Description: partial 16S ribosomal RNA
Rfam family: Bacterial small subunit ribosomal RNA
Source: RNAcentral